CAAUAGCGUAUAUUUAAGUUGUUGCAGUUAAAAAGCUCGUAGUUGGAUUUCGGUUAAGAGCGACCGGUCCGCCGUUUGGUGUGCACUGGUUGGUUUUAACUUCCUGUAGAGGACGCGCUCUGGGUUUAACGACCUGGACUCGGAGUCUACGUGGUUACUUUGAAAAAAUUAGAGUGUUCAAAGCGGGCUUACGCUUGAAUAUUUCAGCAUGGAAUAACACUAUAGGACUCCUGUCCUAUUUCGUUGGUCUCGGGACGGGAGUAAUGAUUAAGAGGAACAGUUGGGGGCAUUCGUAUUUCAUUGUCAGAGGUGAAAUUCUUGGAUUUAUGAAAGACGAACUUCUGCGAAAGCAUUUGCCAAGGAUGUUUUCAUUAA
RNAcentral lists this ribosomal RNA (375 nucleotides) under uncultured eukaryote. RNAcentral's name for it is "partial 18S ribosomal RNA". It matches the Rfam family "Eukaryotic small subunit ribosomal RNA", at positions 592 to 976 of the family's 1831-position model. The record is from RNAcentral.